GUCACUGGUCGCUCGGUAAAGUGAGCGUUAAACCCCACGUCGGGCGAGAAAAGUCGUCCACGACUGAGCAGCACAUUGUCUGGAGGUUCUAAAAGGGUGGCGCGAAACUGACAGCCGGGGACAGGCGCAGUUUCUCCAGGAUCAGCUGCAGUUUGCAGAAUUUCCUGCCUGUGUGAGAAAUUCUGCAAGAUGACCCCAGCAGCAGCAGCAGCAGCGGUGGCAGCGGCAGAAGCAGCGGCAGCAGCAGCAGCAGAGUUCCUGGAAUCACCGCUGCUUUGACCUGUCAUGACCUCUCGUCUCCCCUCUUCUCCCGCCCAGCAGCAAAGAGAAAGAGAAGACUCUCCAAGAUGCUGAUGAUUGAUACAAUGAAUUGUCAGGAGUGUGUGAUGAGAAACACACGUUUACCCGCACAGCCUGCCAGAAUUUAUCAGCACUUGGAAACUGAAAGUCUGUGUGUGUGUGUGUGCAUGUUAUCCAUCGAUAAGCCUCUGUCAGCCUAACUCUGCUCAUCUGGCUUUUGACUAAUUUCUCUCCAACCUAAUGAAGCAUGCUUUAAAAACACGCACGCUGCAGUAAAUCUGAAAUAGGAAAUGCAACCACGGUAGAUGGAAGUGGUUAGUUUUUUUUUAAGACUGGUUUGAUGCACUGACAUAAAAGCAUUUUUCAUUUGCCCUCACAGCUCCACAACUGAGCCCAACCUGCUGGUUUUCAUUACAAACCUAUUAUUGCACUUGUGCUCCUGUAGCAGCUGCUAGAUGUAAUAUUGAGUCAUAGAAAAGCGCAAAAAUAUACAAUUGAACAAGUCAAGUGAAGAUGGGCAUUUGACAUAAAAAUGACUGUAUACAGCAACACACAUUUACAGGCAGGCAGUCACAGUGAUGCCCCCAGGGAAUGUAGCAUCUCUACCUGACUGGCAUACAUGUACAGGAGCUGCAGCCUCCACGGGGGCUUAAGGUGAACUCAAGGUGAACAUUCAAACCAUGAAAUCAAAUGUACUCUCUGUUCUUUAGGAAGCGUUCGCGUCACACAGUUUUGGUGUGCCGUCCUCGUACCGUGUCACCUUUCAUCGCGUCCUCCUCAACUGGAGUCCAGUGUCGCCAUCUGCAGGCGGCAGGGCUGAACUUCCCAUUUCCAUGGCAACUGCAUGCGUUGUUGCGGGGAGCCCCCGUAGCCCCUGGCAACAGGCUCCUCGCUGGGAUUGGAGUCCUAUCAGCAGCUGUCAAUCAUGGGAUGAGCCGCUGCUUUGCCCAAGGCCAAUGUGCUCAUAAGAGAUAGGAACAAAUCCAUUACGAGGCGGCGGGCCUGGACGGGGUCAGCUGGAGACAAAGGGAACGCAGGAUGCACACACCUGAUUAUAAUGCGCGCGGAAGCUGUGAUGAUGUCGCGGUGGGCACUCCUCACAGCCAUUACCAUGGUUACGCAUCGAUCCACGGAGGUACGCCACGAUCACAGCGAGGAGUCGGACGAACAAAAUGGCCGCACCUUCUCGUUACGGCACUGACAUUGCGAUGGAAUGAAAGAGGAGGCCGGCAACAGAUGGCAGGGAUUCCUACUGUACCGUUGAGCGAACCCUUUGAAUUUCUAUUACUUGCUUGAGCCCGAGGCAUUGGCCGAACCGACACUCGGGCCCCAGGGGGCAGCGCCUGCUCUGCAAUCUAUCCAUAACUACUAUCUCCACCCACCUCCACCUCCUUUAUGUAAUUAUUCUUCUUUGACCUUUCCGUACAGUAAAUUCUAUUCCUUCGUACAGCUUGUGAUGGCUCAUAGAGCUCGACUUACUGGAUAUUGGAUCACAAUGACUUUCUGGUAACCUUAUUUUUCAACUGCGAUCAUUUCUAGCAAAUAUUGUGAAACUGUACCUCAUAAUUAUUAAUUUAUUAA
Betta splendens (Siamese fighting fish) is the source of this 1881-nucleotide long non-coding RNA. RefSeq lists it as uncharacterized. Lineage: Eukaryota; Metazoa; Chordata; Actinopteri; Anabantiformes; Osphronemidae. The record is from RefSeq and is a predicted model, not a curated record. The transcript has 3 exons.